This 253-nucleotide ribosomal RNA is filed under the name uncultured bacterium. RNAcentral's name for it is "partial 16S ribosomal RNA". It matches the Rfam family "Bacterial small subunit ribosomal RNA", at positions 524 to 776 of the family's 1533-position model. The record is from RNAcentral.
UACGUAGGGUGCGAGCGUUAAUCGGAAUUACUGGGCGUAAAGCGCGCGCAGGCGGUUUUUCAAGUCAGUGGUGAAAGCCCGGAGCUCAACUCCGGAAAUGCCAUUGAAACUGUAGAACUUGAGGACGAGAGAGGUGAGUGGAAUUCCCAGUGUAGAGGUGAAAUUCGUAGAUAUUGGGAAGAACACCGGUGGCGAAGGCGGCUCACUGGCUCGUUUCUGACGCUCAGGCGCGAUAGCGUGGGGAUCAAACAGG